ACUCUCGUUAAGGAACUCUGCAAGUUGACCCCGUAACUUCGGGAGAAGGGGUGCCACCCUGGUGAGGCGUUAUGCAUGUCCGAGCUGAGGGUGGCCGCAGAAACCAGGCCCAGGCGACUGUUUAAUAAAAACACAGGUCUCUGCUGAAGGCGUGAAGCCGACGUAUAGGGACUGACACCUGCCCGGUGCUGGAAGGUUAAGGGGAGAGGUUAGCCGCAAGGCGAAGCUUUGAACCGAAGCCCCAGUAAACGGCGGCCGUAACUAUAACGGUCCUAAGGUAGCGAAAUUCCUUGUCGGGUAAGUUCCGACCUGCACGAAUGGUGUAACGAUCUGGGCGCUGUCUCGACGGGAGACCCGGCGAAAUUGUGGAACUGGUCAAGACGCCAGUUGCCCGUGGUGGGACGGAAAGACCCCGUGGAGCUUUACUGUAUCCUGACAUUGGAUUUCGGCAAGGCAUGUACAGGAUAGGUGGGAGGCAUUGAGUCGAGGGCGUCAGCCUUCGAGGAGCCGACGUUGGGAUACCACCCUUGUUUUGCUGGGAUUCUAACCGCCAUGUCUGAAUCGGCAGGCGGGACCGUGUCAGGUGGGCAGUUUGACUGGGGCGGUCGCCUCCCAAAGAGUAACGGAGGCGCGCGAAGGUCACCUCAGGGCGAAUGGAAAUCGCCUAUUGAGCGUAAGGGUAUAAGGUGGCUUAACUGUGAGACUGACAGGUCGAGCAGAAACGAAAGUUGGUCCUAGUGAUCCGGUGGUCCUGAGUGGAAAGGCCAUCGCUCAUCGGAUAAAAGCUACCCCGGGGAUAACAGGCUGAUGCCGCCCGAGAGUUCCUAUCGACGGCGGCGUUUGGCACCUCGAUGUCGGCUCAUCGCAUCCUGGGGCUGAAGCAGGUCCCAAGGGUUGGUCUGUUCGCCCAUUAAAGCGGUACGUGAGCUGGGUUUAGAACGUCGUGAGACAGUUCGGUCCCUAUCCACCACGGGCGUAGGGGAUUUGAGGGGAUCUGCUCCUAGUACGAGAGGACCGGAGUGGACGAACCGCUAGUGUACCGGUUGUGGCGCCAGCUGCAUAAGCCGGGUAGCCAUGUUCGGAUCGGAUAACCGCUGAAGGCAUCUAAGCGGGAAGCCGGCCCCAAGAUGAGAUCACUCACUGAGUCAAUCAGGUAAGGCGUCCCGUAGACGACGGGAUUGAUAGGCCGGAGGUGUAAGCCCCGUGAGGGGUUGAGCUGACCGGUACUAAUAGGCCGAGGCCUUAACUCC
Molecule: ribosomal RNA, 1250 nt
Filed under: bioreactor sludge metagenome
Description: bacterial LSU rRNA
Rfam family: Bacterial large subunit ribosomal RNA
Source: RNAcentral